This 253-nucleotide ribosomal RNA is filed under the name uncultured bacterium. RNAcentral's name for it is "partial 16S ribosomal RNA". It matches the Rfam family "Bacterial small subunit ribosomal RNA", at positions 524 to 776 of the family's 1533-position model. The record is from RNAcentral.
UACGUAGGGUGCGAGCGUUGUCCGGAAUUAUUGGGCGUAAAGAGCUCGUAGGUGGUUUGUCGCGUUGUCCGUGAAAACUCACAGCUCAACUGUGGGCGUGCGGGCGAUACGGGCAGACUGGAGUACUGCAGGGGAGACUGGAAUUCCUGGUGUAGCGGUGGAAUGCGCAGAUAUCGGGAGGAACACCAAUGGCGAAGGCAGCUCGCUGGGACGUUACUGACGCUGAGACGCGAAAGCGUGGGGAGCAGACAGG